RNAcentral lists this ribosomal RNA (253 nucleotides) under uncultured bacterium. RNAcentral's name for it is "partial 16S ribosomal RNA". It matches the Rfam family "Bacterial small subunit ribosomal RNA", at positions 524 to 776 of the family's 1533-position model. The record is from RNAcentral.
UACAGAGGGGGCAAGCGUUAUUCGGAAUUAUUGGGCGUAAAGGGCGCGUAGGCGGACUGCCAAGUCCGGGGUGAAAUCUUUCGGCUUAACCGGAAAAGGGCCUUGGAAACUGGCGGUCUCGAGGGAGGUAGGGGCCUGUGGAACUUCGGGUGGAGCGGUGAAAUGCGUUGAUAUCCGAAGGAACGCCGGUGGCGAAAGCGACGGGCUGGAUCUCUUCUGACGCUGAGGCGCGAAAGCCAGGGGAGCAAACGGG